AUGUGUACGCAACCAAAAUGUGUCGUGUCGUGUGAAGGCCGUCCAGCCAGGGAACGCAGUUUGAGACGGCUUUUCAACAUUUGUAAUCAUGACACCGCAUUUAUGGCCACGAAUGAUAAAUUAUUGUUAGAUGAGAACGGACGUGACCAGCUGUGUUUGUGGCAGGUUUUUAACAACACAUUGGGGAAAUUUCUAAGUAUUAGUAUGAGUGCAUUUAAUGAGACCUGUGGACGUGUCCGCUUGUGUUUUCGUCGAUAUAAAAGUCGGGACAUCACCGAGACAUUGGUGGUGAUAAAACUUGUCAUUAUUAAUAAAAGUUUUAAAUUAGUUCUGAGAAGUCAGGACGUGUGCUGUCAGACAGGUGAUGUACAGCGUCUCAACGUAUCCGUGGUUUGCAGAAACGUACGUCACCAACAUUUAUUCUGGCGAUCGGGUCGGCAACACUUUAUUAAAAACACUGACAAGUGAUUGCGUCAUGAUAUGUAACUUAAAAUGGUAAAAUAAAACACAACCAAGGAGAUUCAUUCAGAAUAAAUAUUGCUUCUUACAUAACCCAUAAGUCUAAUAAUAUCCACGUUUUUAUCUAUAUAGUAUUUCUGUUUUUUGGCAAUCCACGCGUCAGUGUUGAACCUCUAUAAAAUUUCAUAGAACUCUAUACAAAUCUUUAAAAAUACUGUGCUUUUCUGCCCCCUCCGACACGUCGCUGUUUGUUUUUAAAAUAAGUUACAUGUUCAAACAGGAACAGCGUUAUAGCAGCAUCGUCCCGUGCCGGCCUCCGUACGGCGUAAUGUUCACAGAACACAGAGCUUGUGUAUGUUUCACUUGUCUCCUCGAAAGCUGCACCUGCAGGAAGCUGCGGAGUGUGAUAUGAAACCAAACGAGGGUGAAGUUGCUCUAAAACGAUAUAUAUAUAUAUUUCCAGACGUUGGGUUACUGUGGAGCACAUAUCCAACCACACGUGAGGUGUGCUCUGAAGGAAUCUACUUUAGGAUAAAAACACGAGCUCUUCUUCUCUACAGAGCGACGGUGGUGCAGGUGGUGGAGGAGGGGAGCUAUUUAAGGCAUCCUCUGCAGGAUGAUGGUGUGAAUGAGACCACUGCUGGUCCUCAGGUCAGCUCUGGCAACUAUAAAUCAACCUUCAUAGAAUUUCUUCUUUUUUUUUUACUCUAAACCUUUUAAUAGAGCUAUACAUAGAAUCAAAUAGACAUUUUUAUCCUGUUAAACACUCUUAUAUACACACAUUUCAACACAUACUGUACUUCUACUUCUGACCAGCCUGUAUCAUUGCUAGCAAACACAUACAAAUGUCCAGCUUUAUAAAUGCUGAUUAAUUUUAAAUUGGACCCUUAGAACAAAGUUUAAAUCACGUCUCUUCAGCCGGAGCUGCAGUGAGACCGGAUAAGAAUACGGGAGAAGCUCUUUGUCCAGGCGAGUUCAUCUGCACCGGAUCAGAAUCGUUUUCUUUCCCUUUCCUAAUCUCACACAGGGCUCACGCUGACGGACAUCUGCCGGCUCUGUCAGGUUAUUCUCUGCUUGGUUUUUUUGCACAGUGGUUAGAGGGCAGCACGAGGCACGAGGACUUACGUGAACACGUAAUUCUACAUAAAACCUUGAAGCCUCGGAUUCUCCAUCUGCUCCAGAGAGCAAACGCUUCGCCGAGAAUUCACCUCAUCUGGCUGAAGUCGCUUUACAAAGUAUUAACCUGCUGAUAUGUACAAUUAUAGGACAAGAUCUGUUUUUAUCUUCGAACUCUAACGACCGGACUCUGCCGUGGCGGCCAGCGUCGGUCUGCAACAGCUUCGUUAACGCAGCGUCGCGUCUCCAGCUUCUUUCUUAAAGAAAACGACUGAAGGCUGUUUUGGUCUGAAACAGUAGUUGGUUUCAUUUUGACUCCAGAUCACAGAUUUGUGCAGUUUCAGAUUGCCGUUUGGUUGGACUUGAGCUGGAGUUAGCUUGAUGCUAGCAAAUCUCACUGAGUCUUAGUCUCCUUGCUCUUUUUCUAUUAACAAAGAACAAUGUACAAAAUGUUCAGGUAGUCGUUGGAUAAAUAGAAAAAGUUCUUAAUUUCUCUGGCAAAACUUGAGUUUUGGAUCUUAAAUAUCAGGUUACUUAUAACAUUUACUGUUUAAAAUUGUUGACAGCUAAAAAAGGGAUCCAAAGGGAUUCAACACUGGAUUAAAAUUCAGUAAAAUACCAUCAGGUGACAGCUUUAAAUGGGUCGACAUUUUAGGAAAUACACAUAUUAAUUUUCUCGUUCAGAGUUUGUUGAGAAGAUCGAUACCACUGUCAUGUGAAUGUGGAGCUGAAGCCUGGAGAUGAUUAGCUUAGCUUAGCUUAGCAUUAAGACUGGAAACAGGGAAAAGUGUGGAUGUAUUAAAGACAAACUGGACACAGCAUCAGCGUCGAGGCCCCGUUCAGUCAGAUUACAGCUGCUCUGUGAUGCAUGAAGCCAAGAAAGUUCAACUUCCAGAUAUAAAAUGACCGACAUCAUUGUUGUGCGGGCACAGAGACUUCCUCUGACACUUUCAGCCCAUCGCUAAAUAAAUUGAUGUAAUCGUGUCGCUCCUCUAGACUUUCUAAAGGUUACCGGAAUGGAUCAAAAUGGAUCUUUUUGAAGGUUGUGAUGCUUUAUCCAAAUUAGAAAUAUUCAAAUGGUUCAUGCAACUAUAGUUUUUUCUAUAAAAAUAUAUCUGCCAUUGUUUUUUUCCCCUCAUUUUUUACUGACGCCUUGAAAUAACCUGAUACCUGGUGGGAUGACAUCGUCACAGGCGCUGGUGCCUCGACAUGCCACAGUACAUACAAACAGCAGAUCUUUGAUUGAUCGUCGAUUACUUCCUGGUGACUAUAGAAUAGCAUGUCCAUCCCUACGAGUCACAGCAGUUAACUGUGGACUGAAUGAUGUUUUAUACCAGGUAUAAUGUUGAACUGGGUAACAUCUCAGUUUAGCAGGUAAACAAGCUAAAAUUAGCAAAUUAGCAGUAAAAAAAAAGUACAGCUGAGUUAGAUGGGAGGGUAUAAAUAUGUUUUUAUACCUGACAAUUUAAAUUUUUGACCUGAUGAUAGCACCCAGUGAGAGUUAAUGUUAUUAAAAUUCAUCCUUAAGAAAUGUAAAUGGGACGUAUCAGCCUCAUGGUGGCGCUAGACUACAGGAGGUGUCAGAGAGUAUUUGGACUUUAUCCAGUCGGGAUUCUGAGGAGUAAUUAUUGAUAUAUUUCUGUCUGGACUGAAGCAGCGGACUGACUGACAGACACCUCCAGAGCUCACUGAUCAUCAGGUGAGAUAUGACAUGUUGAACUUUGAGCUUUUGCAAGCUGUUUUCCUGCCUCCAGUCUUGAUGCUAAGCUAAUCGUCUCCAGCUUCAUAUUCCUGCACAGACAUCAGAGUGCUAUCAGUGUUGUAACGCGCAGAAAUACGUUUAUUCCCCCAAAAUGUGAAACUAUUCCUUUAAACCUUGUAACGCUCUCUCUAUUAAACCUCUUCUUCUACCACGUGCACACAGGGUGUUGGGUGUUGGAUACGUUAGCGUUGCUUUGGGGCCACAUGAACGCUGAGUGUUGACCUGCUGAUGGUGAGGGGAAGGAGAUGUGACGUCGUGAGGAAAAGGAAAGUACAAAAGCGAAGAACAGCUCUAGUUUACCUACUGUGGCCUAAAGAGCGGGUCUGAGGAAAGAGCUAAACUGGCCUUAGUGAUAAUUCGGGUCAACCAUCAACACGCACACACACAUUCACACACACACACACACACACACACAACACUUGAAGGAAAAGCCAAGAGGACGCCCUUAUCAGACAGACAAGCUGGAACCACUUCAAGGUGAGAAUAUUCCUGGUCCAACGUUUGUCUGUCCGUCUUGUACCUCGUGUCCUCGCCUCCGUUGUCUUCGUAUGAUGAGGUGGACACCGGGUGGGUGUAGACUGACGAGGGGCCGCGGGGCCCCUGCUACAGCGGAGCGCCUCCUCUGGUGACCACCUCUCUCCACACUUUGCUCUCUCUCAGGAGAAGAAGGCCAUCGCAGUAUCGGUGUGUGUAUACAUGCUUAGGAUGUGUGAAGACAGUGUGUGCUCUUGUUUGUCAGUGUGUGGCACUCUGCAUAAAGUGUGUGUGUGUGUGUGUGUGUGUGUGUGUGUGUGCACGGACAUGAGAUAUGGUUCAGUAUUCGUUUAAACAUGUCAGCUAAUGUUCUUAUUUUUGACACAAACAGGUGAAAAGCAAAAAAAAAUGGAGUCUAUCUCAAAUUUUUCUCUACAACCUUAGAUGCACCCAGAAAUAUAACUCCGGUAGGACUCUAGUGAAGAAAUAUUAUUCUCUGAACAAACUCUAGCAAAGAUAGAAAAGGAGCAACGACCAGCUCAGCUGGUUCUUCAUGCACCCACACCGGGUGUAUGGAAAAAGUCUUCAGUAUUCCAAAGCAGUUGGGUGAGCAGGAGUCUUUAUGUGAAAUAAACUUCCAGACAAGUAUUUUUCCAGUGUUUGAGUACACGCUAUUCCAGAGUUUUUGUUUCCUGGUCAGUCCUUCGUACUGGCCUCCUCUUCUCUCUCUCCUUCAUGUGACUUAGCAGCUAUUCUCUUCUCUCUCCCCCUGCAGUUCCGCCGACAUCCCAUGAUCGCCUGAUGCUCAGAGCGGUGGGAAGGAGGAAGAGGGCGGACAAGACCGGAGCACUGAGAUGAGGGCGACAGAGGAUGAGAGAGGACAAAAACAGCAAGAGGCAGCAUCAGCUUGGACAAAACUUCUACCCAGUUCC
This is a long non-coding RNA of Sparus aurata (gilthead seabream), 4743 nucleotides long. The record is from Ensembl. Lineage: Eukaryota; Metazoa; Chordata; Actinopteri; Spariformes; Sparidae.